AGCCACUUAAGCACGAUCCGCCUAUUUCGCUUCCGUGGAUCGACCCUCGCGUAACCAUGGAUACGGAAGGCGUAUUAGUCCUGCUGCAGCCGGCAGCUGCAAUCAAUCACCAGCAAUCUGCGCACCUGGGGUUGAUCAGAGGACCGCCUUCAUAAGCCUGCACAACCUGCUAUCCCGUGCCAGAACGUAGCUACCUGUCCCGUACACAGACCUCCGUUCCCGCGCGACGAGCUGUGUGUCUCGUCUUUUCCUUGUUCCCUCUGCUUCCCUGACUGCCUCUUGGAUCUCGACCUCCCGCUUGGACACGGACCUUCUACGCCUCGACUUCCUGCCUGUCUCAUGGACCUCCAAGCUUGUCUUGUCCCGCUUGAUCCUCCGCCUCUCGCUCAA
This is a long non-coding RNA of Nerophis lumbriciformis (worm pipefish), 390 nucleotides long. RefSeq lists it as uncharacterized. NCBI's taxonomy places the organism in Eukaryota, Metazoa, Chordata, Actinopteri, Syngnathiformes, Syngnathidae. The record is from RefSeq and is a predicted model, not a curated record.